CCCCCACCAGCCCGAGCAGCAUCUCAGCAGUCGAUGGUGAUAAAAGCAGUAAGACCUUUCCCUUACUAUAGAACCUCCAGGCUAGUACAGUUAUAACGUGUGGGCUUCUUAUCCGAGGGGUCGGCGGUUCGCGCCCCGCCCAGGUGCGAGAAGUUGCAAUUGUCGCGUGGGGAUUACUGCUGUGGCUGGGCACCACGGCGGGUAAGGACAAAAGCCGAGUCAGCACCAGCUGACACACUGUUAGCGAGUCGACAUUAGUCGGCACAGGCCGGGCUCCCCUCAUAACCCGGGCGAGUCUCAGCUUCGCAUAUCGGACUUGUCCUUAUCCCUUUCUAAGUGUGACAAUUAAAGGUAGAGUACGUAGACCGGCCAAAGGUAUAUUUUGUUUUCAAUGUUGCUUCUGAUGAUGGCGAAAGCCAACUGUUGUAUUACGAAGCUGUGCUAUCACACAGCUGCGUGACCUCCCACAUGCGUCGUAUGGUUGCGUUCCUUCCCUCUCUCUUGGGUUUGGGCCCAGAAUGGCGUCAGGGGAAUUUCCAAACGAGGUUCAAAAUUGUAAAAAAAGUUGAAAGUAAUGAUACAAGUUUUUUUACGGAAUGACAGUCUUUACUGAGGUUGAGGAAUGCAUACGGUCCCCAUGCGGUACCUUUACUUUUUGAGGGUGUUGAUUGGGCAGACAGUAUUGGCAAAGAGUGGUAUUUUCCGUUCAUUAUUCCUGAGGUAAGAGAAUAUGAUCGGGAUUUUUUUUGUAUGUGUGAAAAUCGUCCAGUGUUUGCGAUGUUUCACGCUUUCUUCUCUGGAAAGGGCCGAACCAGCCCUCCAGCAUUUAAGGGGCUUGCAAGUUUGUCGGCAAUGUAAGAUCGACAGUUAUUUCCGUGUAGAUGUACAAUUUUCAGCCAGAUUUCAGAUUUCCAGGUUCUGCGCCUCCAAUGAGCAACGUCUUCAGAUUUUGGCAAGGUUUGAUUCCCGAUCACAGCCAAAAGAAAUCCAUCCUCCCCAUCCAGGUAGGCGAGUGCUUGUAUAUCUCUAUAAGUCGCGACGUUGAUCUUAUUGAAUUGACUUCGAACUGCUAUUGACAUCAAAUGAACUGCAUUCUGAUUUACAUUUUUUCUCAUAGGCUUACCCUACUGACAUCAGAUUUCCGAAGAGAUUCGUUUCAGGUCCUCAUUCGCCAGCACCUCCUAGGCUCUUAGCCACCUUGACUCGCAAAUCUGUGCUGAGUUACACCUGCUGCAUGAAGCCCAACCAACGUGGAGCUUCACCUCAAUGUCUCCUGCAGCCAAGGCGGAAGGACGAAACCGCGGUGAGUGGCGUCAGAAAAUCGCGCUGACACUGUCCUUGAUGAUGACCUAUGCUGACCUUUGACCCGAAUUUUAUGCUCAGCGUCGGCGUUUGCAGAGAGACUGAGACGAUACCCUGGCGGGCCUGGUCGACGACAGGUGCUGAAUGCAGUCGCCGGUACAGGGAGCAGCGCAUGGCCAUCCCGCACAGGACAGUCACACAGCGGGAAGUCCUGUGUGUGGAACGAAAACCAUCACAUGACGUCACAAAUAGAUGUUCCCGAGAUGGUUACCACAUGUGGCCGACUCCACACACUAUUUGCCCGUGCGCUGUCCUUGCCGACUGGCUUUCACUGGCUUUAUUACGAACAUCUGGACAGUUUUUUUCCACUCAUCGGCCAAAGGUUGUUUCGAGGUGACUGGAAUCUGCGCCACAACCAAGGUUCCCGCCACCUCCUCGCGACCGUGGCCGUGGAGUUUUUUUCCUGUCCAGCCGCCAGAUCGGCACUGACAUGAGCCGUUGCCAUGUUUACUUUAAGAUGCAUAUCUCAUGUGUGGUCUUCUGUUAUAUACGGUGCCAUGUCGCCACGUGUGGAUCAUUUGCCAUCAGGCUUUAAGCAACUGACAAUAAAUGUCGAUUUCACGCCAAGUUUGUUUCCUUGUCACUAGAAACGCAGGUGUAGUGGCCUGAUGUGUAUGUAUAUAUAUGUAUACAUAUAUAUGUAUAUAU
Molecule: long non-coding RNA, 2010 nt
Organism: Penaeus indicus
Lineage: Eukaryota; Metazoa; Arthropoda; Malacostraca; Decapoda; Penaeidae
Exons: 3
Source: RefSeq, a predicted model, not a curated record